Molecule: ribosomal RNA, 440 nt
Filed under: uncultured bacterium
Lineage: Bacteria
Description: bacterial SSU rRNA
Rfam family: Bacterial small subunit ribosomal RNA
Source: RNAcentral
CCUACGGGAGGCAGCAGUGGGGAAUCUUGGACAAUGGGCGCAAGCCUGAUCCAGCCAUGCCGCGUGGGCGAUGAAGGUCUUCGGAUUGUAAAGCCCUUUUGGCGGGGACGAUAAUGACGGUACCCGCAGAAUAAGCUCCGGCUAACUUCGUGCCAGCAGCCGCGGUAAUACGAAGGGGGCUAGCGUUGUUCGGAAUUACUGGGCGUAAAGCGUGCGCAGGCGGCUUUUCAAGUCAGAGGUGAAAGCCCCGGGCUCAACCCGGGAAUGGCCUUUGAGACUGGAAGGCUCGAGUGCGAGAGAGGUGAGUGGAAUUCCCAGUGUAGAGGUGAAAUUCGUAGAUAUUGGGAAGAACACCCGUGGCGAAGGCGGCUCACUGGCUCGCAACUGACGCUCAGGCACGACAGCGUGGGGAGCAAACAGGAUUAGAUACCCUAGUAGUC